AUUGAACGCUGGCGGCAUGCCUUACACAUGCAAGUCGAACGGUAACAGGUCUUCGGAUGCUGACGAGUGGCGAACGGGUGAGUAAUACAUCGGAACGUGCCCGAUCGUGGGGGAUAGCUCGGCGAAAGCCGGAUUAAUACCGCAUACGAUCUACGGAUGAAAGACAGGGACCGGCAAGGCCUUGCGCGAACGGAGCGGCC
Molecule: ribosomal RNA, 200 nt
Filed under: uncultured bacterium
Lineage: Bacteria
Description: partial 16S ribosomal RNA
Rfam family: Bacterial small subunit ribosomal RNA
Source: RNAcentral